GAUGAAGAACGUAGCGAAAUGCGAUAAGUAGUGUGAAUUGCAGAUUUCAGUGAAUCAUCGAAUCUUUGAACGCAACUUGCGCCCUCUGGUAUUCCGGAGGGCAUGCCUGUUUGAGUGUCAUGAAACCUCAAUCCCCCAGGGUUCUGCUCUGUUGGGUGAUUGGAUUUGGGCGUUGCCGGCCUGGCCGGCUCGCCUUAAAGGCGUUAGUGGGAUCAGUAAACCCGAUCGGCGUAAUAAGUUUCGCUGAGGAGGUUUGCGCGAGCCCGCUCACAACCCUCUCCUUUGGAGAACACUCUUUUGAUCUGACCUCAAAUCAGGUAGGACUACCCGCUGAACUUAAGCAUAUCAAUAAGCGGAGGA
This 360-nucleotide unclassified non-coding RNA is filed under the name soil metagenome. Its description in RNAcentral is "partial contains 5.8S ribosomal RNA, internal transcribed spacer 2, and large subunit ribosomal RNA". The stretch from base 1 to 120 matches the Rfam family "5.8S ribosomal RNA", at positions 35 to 154 of the family's 154-position model. The record is from RNAcentral.